RNAcentral lists this unclassified non-coding RNA (222 nucleotides) under Hevea brasiliensis (rubber tree). Lineage: Eukaryota; Viridiplantae; Streptophyta; Magnoliopsida; Malpighiales; Euphorbiaceae. The record is from RNAcentral.
GCCCCAUAAUGUUGACAACUUGCAAGGAAAUUUAUCCAUCGGUACUCAGAAUAGACAGCAUAUUUCCCACUUAUGAAAGAUGCGUCAAGAACAAUACCAACUGUUUCAGGGAUAAAUGGUAUCACCAAAGUUUGCAUCUGAACUACAUUGCUGAUUUCACAAUCCAAACUUAUUUCUAAAAUAAUGAUUUAACAUAAACAACUGGAACUCCCGGAAGGAAGC